GCACCAUGGGCCUUCUCUCCGUGUCCUGGAGUUUGAAGGUUUACAAAGGACUGCACAUUUUUCAUGAGUCAUCUCAACGAUCACGCUCCUCACCGUAUUAACACCCCACGCGGUGGGUACUGUUAUGAGUCCCAUUUUACCCUCGGGGACACCGAAUCUGUAAGAAGCCUGGUCGCUUAUUCCAUUUACAGCAAAAGGAGCCGCGGGGCUCAGCGGCUCUAACUUUUAGGCUGUAGGGUCCUCGCCGACCACCCCGCCAAAGUGUCAGGCCUCGGGGCCCUUGCAACCCCACCCAGGGACACGGAUCGAAAGGGUGGCAGCAACGCCUCCCCUGCAGCUGGGAGCGUUUUCCAGACCUUUGCACCAACCUCGUUGGCUAAGCCCCCCGCCCGGCCGCCACCGGGCUGGGAGGAGGCACUUUUGGGAGGCGGGGCCGGGGCCCGGGGAUACUCUCGCGCCGGCGGGCUCCAAUCGCUGCGCCUCACGCAACCCCAAACGGUUCCCUGGCGAACUGGGGCCCGCGCGCGCCAAGUCCUCCGAGACCCUCAGGGGCUGCGACCCUGGUCUCGUGGGACCCGCGGGGGACCGGGCGGCAGCACCCCCGACUCAGUCAGCGGAUAGUGGGGAUCCCGGGAAGUCCCGGGGGCGUCCUCGGGGGUCUCCGGAAGACACUGGCUGAGGCUCCCGCGCAGCGCUUGAAAAUUGCGCGCGGCCCUACGGCCAGCCUGGGUAGGGGCAAGGCGCAGCCAAUGGGAAGGGUCGGGGCACUGCAUAGCCAAUGGGGAGGGCUGGGAGUACGCGGCGAGGGAGAUUUAAAGAGGGCUGAGUCGGUGUGCUGCCCGUGCACCCCUUCCCAGCCGCCCGGCCCCGGCUGCCAGCUCUUCUUCGUCGCGCCGCCACCAUGCUCUCCGUCCGCGUCCCGCUCGCGCCCAUCACGGACCCGCAGCAGCUGCAGCUCUCGCCGCUGAAGGGGCUCAGCCUGGUCGACAAGGAGAACACGCCCCCGGCCCUGAACGGGACCCGGGUCCUGGCCAGCAAGACCGCGAGGAGGAUCUUCCAGGAGCCGGCGGAGCCGCAGAAAACUCGAGCAGCCGCCCCCGGCGUGGAGGAGGAGCCGCUGCUGAGAGCAAACCCGCGCCGCUUUGUCAUCUUCCCCAUCAAGUACCAGGACAUCUGGCAGAUGUAUAAGAAGGCGGAGGCCUCCUUCUGGACCGCCGAGGAGGUGGACCUGUCCAAGGACAUUCGGCACUGGGAGUCCCUGAAGCCCGAGGAGAGAUACUUCAUAUCCCACGUUCUGGCUUUCUUCGCAGCGAGCGACGGCAUAGUGAAUGAAAACCUGGUGGAGCGAUUUAGCCAAGAAGUUCAGAUCACAGAAGCCCGCUGUUUCUAUGGCUUCCAAAUUGCCAUGGAAAACAUUCAUUCUGAAAUGUAUAGUCUCCUUAUUGACACUUACAUAAAAGAUCCCAGCGAAAGGGAAUUUCUCUUCAAUGCCAUUGAAACGAUGCCUUGUGUCAAGAAGAAGGCAGAUUGGGCCUUGCGCUGGAUUGGGGACAAAGAGGCUACCUAUGGUGAACGCGUCGUAGCCUUUGCUGCAGUGGAAGGCAUCUUCUUUUCUGGUUCUUUUGCAUCCAUAUUCUGGCUCAAGAAACGAGGACUGAUGCCUGGCCUCACAUUUUCUAAUGAACUUAUUAGCAGAGAUGAGGGUUUACACUGUGAUUUUGCUUGCCUGAUGUUCAAACACCUAGUACACAAACCAUCAGAGGAGAGAGUAAGAGAAAUAAUUCUCAAUGCUGUUCGGAUAGAACAGGAGUUCCUCACUGAGGCCUUGCCUGUGAAGCUCAUUGGGAUGAAUUGCACUCUAAUGAAGCAAUACAUUGAGUUUGUAGCAGACAGACUUAUGCUGGAACUGGGUUUUAGCAAGGUGCUGGGAGUCUAGGAAGUGCUGAGCAGAUGGAGUCCAUGCCCUCGGGAAGACGGGGACCAUCACCCACCCAGAGUGUGGCUGUCUCUCGAGUGGCUGUGGAUGCUGACAGAAUGCGUGCCUACCUUGCCAUCACUGUUCACGCACAGCACCUGCUAGGGACUCUCCUGUAACCCAAAGGGGUGGUGGAAGGAUGGAGCUUCAGGCCUUGAGGGCCGGGAGAUGAAAACAGAAGACUGAAUCCUCAGGGGACCCCAGCUCUGGGCUGUGUUCUGAGGACGGGGAGUGGAAGGAGGUGGCAGCAGGAGCCGGGCCCGAGGCAUCUCCCACACUCUUCUGAGGUCGAAGAAAAUUUGGAAAUAGGGAAAAGAGAAAGAAGAGGAAAAGAUGCCUGAAUAUACCUAGACAGGCCCUGUGAACAUGCUGCUGGCUCUCUUUCCACUCCUUCAUCUACACAGGCUGAAUACUAUUCCAGUAUGGAUAUCAUUCAUGUUGCUCAUGCAUUCAUCAGUCAAUGGACACUUGGGGGUAGCUUCUGCCCAAGUUUUAGACACUGUGAGUAAUGCUGCCGUGAACAUGCUUGCACAAAUAUCUCUUCAAGACCCUGUUUUCAGUUCUUUCGGAUAUAUACCAGAAGUGGAACUCCUGAUCACAUGGUAAUUCUACUUCUAAUUUUUUUAAAGGAAACACCGCACUGUCCCACAGUGGUUGCACCACUUUACAUUCUGUGUCUGGUUUCUUUCGCUUAAUAUUGGUCAGGAAGAUUUGUGAAUGUCAUGUACAGCACAAGUUUGUUUCUUUAUAAUUGACGUAUUAAGGAUUCCACUCUAUGAGGGAAACCCAAUCUAUUAAUUCCACUGUUGAUGGACAUUUGGAUUGUUUCCCACUGUGGCUAUUAGGAAUGAAACUGCCACUAACUUUCUUGUACACGUUUUCUGGUAGUCAUAUGCACCUGUUUCUCUUGGGGGUAUAUUUAGGAAUGGAAUUGCUGCAUCAUAGGGUAGGCAGUUGUUUCACUCUAGUAGAUAUUAGGUGUAAAUUUUGAGGUCUUAAAAAUAGUACUGAUUGGGCCGGUGCAGUGGCUUAGGCCUGUAAUCCCAGCACUUUGGGAGGCUGAGGCAGGUGGAUCACCUGAGGUCAAGAGUUUGAGACCCACCUGACCAAACAAAAUUUAGCUGGGUGUGGUGUUGGGCGCUUGUAAUCCCAGCUACCUGGGAGGCUGAGGUAGGAGAAUCACUUGAACUUGGGAGGUGAAGGUUGCAGUGAGCUGACAUUGCACCAUUGUACUCCAGCCUAGGUGACAGAGCGAGACUUUGCCUCAAAAUAAAUAAAAUAAAAUAAAAUAGUACUGAUUGUUACAUAAAGUUUUGAGGUCUGCCUUUUUCACUUAACAUUAAAUCAUUACUAUUUUUAAGUUAG
Molecule: RNA transcript, 3340 nt
Organism: Callithrix jacchus (white-tufted-ear marmoset)
Lineage: Eukaryota; Metazoa; Chordata; Mammalia; Primates; Cebidae
Gene: RRM2
Gene name: ribonucleotide reductase regulatory subunit M2
Source: RefSeq, a predicted model, not a curated record